This 497-nucleotide ribosomal RNA is filed under the name uncultured bacterium. Its description in RNAcentral is "partial 16S ribosomal RNA". It matches the Rfam family "Bacterial small subunit ribosomal RNA", at positions 28 to 507 of the family's 1533-position model. The record is from RNAcentral.
GAUGAACGCUGGCGGCGUGCCUAAUACAUGCAAGUCGAGCGAACAGAUGAGGAGCUUGCUCCUCUGACGUUAGCGGCGGACGGGUGAGUAACAUGUGGAUAACCUACCUAUAAGACUGGGAUAACUUCGGGAAACCGGAGCUAAUACCGGAUAAUAUAUUGAACCGCAUGGUUCAAUAGUGAAAGACGGUUUUGCUGUCACUUAUAGAUGGAUCCGCGCCGCAUUAGCUAGUUGGUAAGGUAACGGCUUACCAAGGCAACGAUGCGUAGCCGACCUGAGAGGGUGAUCAGCCACACUGGAACUGAGACACGGUCCAGACUCCUACGGGAGGCAGCAGUAGGGAAUCUUCCGCAAUGGGCGAAAGCCUGACGGAGCAACGCCGCGUGAGUGAUGAAGGUCUUCGGAUCGUAAAACUCUGUUAUUAGGGAAGAACAAAUGUGUAAGUAACUAUGCACGUCUUGACGGUACCUAAUCAGAAAGCCACGGCUAACUACGUG